AGUCGAGCGAACCAAUAAGAAGCUUGCUUUUUGUUGGUUAGCGGCGGACGGGUGAGUAACACGUGGGUAACCUGCCUGUAAGACCGGGAUAACUCCGGGAAACCGGUGCUAAUACCGGAUAGAUUAUCUUUCCGCCUGGAGAGAUAAGGAAAGAUGGCUUUUGCCAUCACUUACAGAUGGGCCCGCGGCGCAUUAGCUAGUUGGUGAGGUAACGGCUCACCAAGGCGACGAUGCGUAGCCGACCUGAGAGGGUGAUCGGCCACACUGGGACUGAGACACGGCCCAGACUCCUACGGGAGGCAGCAGUAGGGAAUCUUCCGCAAUGGACGAAAGUCUGACGGAGCAACGCCGCGUGAGCGAAGAAGGUCUUCGGAUCGUAAAGCUCUGUUGUUAGGGAAGAACAAGUAUCGGAGGAAAUGCCGGUACCUUGACGGUACCUGACGAGAAAGCCACGGCUAACUACGUGCCAGCAGCCGCGGUAAUACGUAGGUGGCAAGCGUUGUCCGGAUUUAUUGGGCGUAAAGCGCGCGCAGGCGGUCCUUUAAGUCUGAUGUGAAAUCUUGCGGCUCAACCGCAAGCGGUCAUUGGAAACUGGGGGACUUGAGUGCAGAAGAGGAAAGCGGAAUUCCACGUGUAGCGGUGAAAUGCGUAGAGAUGUGGAGGAACACCAGUGGCGAAGGCGGCUUUCUGGUCUGUAACUGACGCUGA
This 708-nucleotide ribosomal RNA is filed under the name Bacillus sp. MC-04. RNAcentral's name for it is "bacterial SSU rRNA". It matches the Rfam family "Bacterial small subunit ribosomal RNA", at positions 60 to 749 of the family's 1533-position model. The record is from RNAcentral. Lineage: Bacteria; Bacillati; Bacillota; Bacilli; Caryophanales; Bacillaceae.